This 218-nucleotide ribosomal RNA is filed under the name Campeiostachys nutans. Its description in RNAcentral is "Elymus nutans partial small subunit ribosomal RNA". The stretch from base 47 to 218 matches the Rfam family "Eukaryotic small subunit ribosomal RNA", at positions 692 to 864 of the family's 1831-position model. Lineage: Eukaryota; Viridiplantae; Streptophyta; Magnoliopsida; Poales; Poaceae. The record is from RNAcentral.
GGGUUUACCCAUUGAUCAGGCUUAAUUGUCUGCACUGGUAGGAUGGAUCUCUACCUUCUGAGGAACUUUCAUGCCAUUUAUUUAAUGUGAUGGGAAAUCAGGACUGUUACUUUGAAAAAAUUAGAGUGUUUAAAACAGACUAUCGUCUGAAUACAUUAGCAUGGAAUAAUGAAAUAGGACGGACUGAUUCUAUUUCGUUGGUUUCUAGGAUCACCGUA